RNAcentral lists this ribosomal RNA (119 nucleotides) under Pteropus alecto (black flying fox). The record is from RNAcentral. Lineage: Eukaryota; Metazoa; Chordata; Mammalia; Chiroptera; Pteropodidae.
GUCUACGGCUAUGCCACCCCGAACAAGCCCAAUCCCAUCUGAUCUCAGAAGCUAAGCAGGGUUGGGCUUGGUUAAUACUUGGAUGGGAGACCACCUAGGAAGACCAAGUGCUGUAGGUA